This 1367-nucleotide long non-coding RNA is filed under the name Oncorhynchus mykiss (rainbow trout). RNAcentral describes it as "lncRNA (ENSOMYG00000054291.1)". Lineage: Eukaryota; Metazoa; Chordata; Actinopteri; Salmoniformes; Salmonidae. The record is from RNAcentral.
CUGUACUGUAACAGGGGUGGUCAAAGGCUCUACUGUCUGUAACAGGGGUGGUCCAGUUCAGUCUCUACUGUCUGUAACAGGGGUGGUUCAGUCUCUACUGUCUGUAACAGGGGUGGUCCAGUCUCUACUGUACUGUCUGUAACGGGUGGUUCAGUCUCUACUGUCUGUAAUAGGGGUGGUCCAGUCUCUACUGUACUGUCUGUAACAGGGGUGGUCCAGUCUGUACUGUCUGUAACAGGGGUGGUCCAGUCUUUACUGUCUGUAACAGGGGUGGUCCAGUCUCUACUGUAUGUAACAGGGGUGGUCCAGUCUCUACUGUACUGUAACAGGGGUGGUCCAGUCUCUACUGUCUGUAACAGGGGUGGUCCAGUCUCUACUGUCUGUAACAGGGGUGGUUCAGUCUCUACUGUCUGUAACAGGGGUGGUUCAGUCUCUACUGUCUGUAACAGGGGUGGUCCAGUCUCUACUGUACUGUCUGUAACGGGUGGUUCAGUCUCUACUGUCUGUAAUAGGGGUGGUCCAGUCUCUACUGUACUGUCUGUAACAGGGGUGGUCCAGUCUGUACUGUCUGUAACAGGGGUGGUCCAGUCUCUACUGUCUGUAACAGGGGUGGUCCAGUCUCUACUGUACUGUAACAGGGGUGGUCCAGUCUCUACUGUCUGUAACAGGGGUGGUCCAGUCUCUACUGUCUGUAACAGGGGUGGUUCAGUCUCUACUGUCUGUAACAGGGGUGGUCCAGUCUCUACUGUAUGUAACAGGGGUGGUCCAGUCUCUACUGUACUGUAACAGGGGUGGUCCAGCCUCUACUGUAUGUAACAGGGGUGGUUCAGACUCCACUGUACUGUAACAGGGGUGGUCCAGUCUCUACUGUACUGUAACAGGGGUGGUCCAGUCUCUACUGUCUGUAACAGGGGUGGUCCAGUCUCUACUGUCUGUAACAGGGGUGGUCCAGUCUCUACUGUACUGUAACAGGGGUGGUCCAGUCUCUACUGUACUGUCUGUAACAGGGGUGGUCCAGUCUGUACUGUCUGUAACAGGGGUGGUCCAGUCUCUACUGUCUGUAACAGGGGUGGUCCAGACUCUACUGUCUGUAACAGGGGUGGUCCAGUCCGUACUGUCUGUAACAGGGGUGGUCCAGUCUCUACUGUACUGUCUGUAACAGGGGUGGUCCAGUCUCUACUGUCUGUAACAGGGGUGGUCCAGUCUCUACUGUACUGUAACAGGGGUGGUCCAGUCUCUACUGUACUGUCUGUAACAGGGGUGGUCCAGUCUGUACUGUCUGUAACAGGGGUGGUCCAGUCUGUACUGUCUGUAACAGGGGUGGUCCAGUCUGUACUGUCUGUAACAGGGGUGGUCCAGACUCUACU